GACGAACGCUGGCGGCGCGCCUAACACAUGCAAGUCGAACGGAGCUGAGAGAAGCUUGCUUUUCUUAGCUUAGUGGCGAACGGGUGAGUAACGCGUGAGUAACCUGCCCUGGAGUGGGGGACAACAGAUGGAAACGACUGCUAAUACCGCAUAAGCCCACGAUCCGGCAUCGGAUUGAGGGAAAAGGAUUUAUUCGCUUCAGGAUGGACUCGCGUCCAAUUAGCUAGUUGGUGAGGUAACGGCCCACCAAGGCGACGAGUGGUAGCCGGACUGAGAGGUUGAACGGCCACAUUGGGACUGAGACACGGCCCCGACUCCUACGGGAGGCAGCAGUGGGGGAUAUUGCACAAUGGGGGAAACCCUGAUGCAGCGACGCCGCGUGGAGGAAGAAGGUUUUCGGAUUGUAAACUCCUGUCGUUAGGGACGAUAAUGACGGUACCUAACAAGAAAGCACCGGCUAACUACGUG
Molecule: ribosomal RNA, 468 nt
Filed under: uncultured bacterium
Lineage: Bacteria
Description: partial 16S ribosomal RNA
Rfam family: Bacterial small subunit ribosomal RNA
Source: RNAcentral